GUGGGGAAUUUUGCGCAAUGGGCGAAAGCCUGACGCAGCGACGCCGCGUGGAGGAUGAAGGUCUUCGGAUUGUAAACUCCUUUUGUAGGGGAAGAUAAUGACGGUACCCUAUGAAUAAGCCACGGCUAACUCUGUGCCAGCAGCCGCGGUAAGACAGAGGUGGCAAGCGUUGUUCGGAAUUACUGGGCUUAAAGGGCGCGUAGGUGGUGGCAUAAGUCCGGGGUGGAAGGCUAAGGCUUAACCUUAGAAUUGCCCUGGAAACUGUAUCACUUGAGUCAGCGAGGGGAUGGCGGAAUUCCUGGUGUAGCGGUGAAAUGCGUAGAUAUCAGGAGGAAGGCCGGUGGCGAAGGCGGCCAUCUGGCGCUGAACUGACACUGAGGCGCGAAAGCGUGGGGAGCAAACAGGAUUAGAUACCCCAGUAGUCC
RNAcentral lists this ribosomal RNA (425 nucleotides) under uncultured bacterium. Its description in RNAcentral is "bacterial SSU rRNA". It matches the Rfam family "Bacterial small subunit ribosomal RNA", at positions 354 to 796 of the family's 1533-position model. The record is from RNAcentral.